Molecule: ribosomal RNA, 479 nt
Filed under: Blastocystis sp.
Lineage: Eukaryota; Bigyra; Opalinata; Blastocystidae
Description: SSU rRNA
Rfam family: Eukaryotic small subunit ribosomal RNA
Source: RNAcentral
GGAGGUAGUGACAAUAAAUCACAAUGCGGGACUUGUAGUCUUGCAAUUGGAUUGAGAACAACGUAAAACUCUUAUCGAUAAGCCAUUGGAGGGCAAGUCUGGUGCCAGCAGCCGCGGUAAUUCCAGCUCCAAUAGCGUAUAUUAACGUUGUUGCAGUUAAAAAGCUCGUAGUUGAAGUGAGGGAGUGUGUGUUGUGAUCGAAUCGAUCGAGAGCAGUACAACCUCCCCCUUCCAAUGGGUGUAUUGGGGUAUUCAUUUACUUCAUUACUCCUUUGGUCGUUUACUGUGAGAAAAUUAGAGUGUUCAAAGCGGGCGUUUGUUUGAAUAGAUUAGCAUGGAAUAAUGAUUGAAGGCUUUCGUGUUCGAUUUGAUUGGUUUGUUCAUGGAAGCAAGGUUAAAAGGAACAGUUGGGGGUAUUCAUAUUCACUAGUUAGAGGUGAAAUUCUCGGAUUUAUGGAAGAUGAACAAGUGCGAAAGCA